GAUGAACGCUGGCGGCGUGCUUAACACAUGCAAGUCGAACGGAAAGGCCCAAGCUUGCUUGGGUACUCGAGUGGCGAACGGGUGAGUAACACGUGGGUGAUCUGCCCUGCACUUCGGGAUAAGCCUGGGAAACUGGGUCUAAUACCGGAUAGGACGAUGGUUUGGAUGCCAUUGUGGAAAGUUUUUUCGGUGUGGGAUGAGCUCGCGGCCUAUCAGCCUGUUGGUGGGGUAAUGGCCUACCAAGGCGUCGGCGGGUAGCCGGCCGGAGAUGGUGCAGGGCCACCUUGGGCCUGGGGAACGGCCCACACUCCUGCGGGAGGCAGCAGGGGGGAGUAUUGCACAAUGGGCGCAAGCCUGAUGCAGCGACGCCGCGUGGGGGAUGACGGCCUUCGGGUUGUAGACUCCUUUCGCUAGGGACGAAGCGUUUUUGUGACGGUACCUGGAGAAGAAGCACCGGCUAACUACGUG
RNAcentral lists this ribosomal RNA (468 nucleotides) under uncultured bacterium. RNAcentral's name for it is "partial 16S ribosomal RNA". It matches the Rfam family "Bacterial small subunit ribosomal RNA", at positions 28 to 507 of the family's 1533-position model. The record is from RNAcentral.